This 1250-nucleotide ribosomal RNA is filed under the name 'Hippophae rhamnoides' leaves shrinkage phytoplasma. RNAcentral's name for it is "bacterial SSU rRNA". It matches the Rfam family "Bacterial small subunit ribosomal RNA", at positions 152 to 1402 of the family's 1533-position model. The record is from RNAcentral. Lineage: Bacteria; Bacillati; Mycoplasmatota; Mollicutes; Acholeplasmatales; Acholeplasmataceae.
ACGACUGCUUGCUAAGACUGGAUAGGAGACAAGAAGGCAUCUUCUUGUUUUUAAAAGACCUAGCAAUAGGUAUGCUUAGGUAGGAGCUUGCGUCACAUUAGUUAGUUGGUGGGGUAAAGGCCUACCAAGACUAUGAUGUGUAGCCGGGCUGAGAGGUUGAACGGCCACAUUGGGACUGAGACACGGCCCAAACUCCUACGGGAGGCAGCAGUAGGGAAUUUUCGGCAAUGGAGGAAACUCUGACCGAGCAACGCCGCGUGAACGAUGAAGUAUUUCGGUACGUAAAGUUCUUUUAUUAGGGAAGAAUAAAUGAUGGAAAAAUCAUUCUGACGGUACCUAAUGAAUAAGCCCCGGCUAACUAUGUGCCAGCAGCCGCGGUAAUACAUAGGGGGCAAGCGUUAUCCGGAAUUAUUGGGCGUAAAGGGUGCGUAGGCGGUUAAAUAAGUUUAUGGUCUAAGUGCAAUGCUCAACAUUGUGAUGCUAUAAAAACUGUUUAGCUAGAGUAAGAUAGAGGCAAGUGGAAUUCCAUGUGUAGUGGUAAAAUGCGUAAAUAUAUGGAGGAACACCAGUAGCGAAGGCGGCUUGCUGGGUCUUUACUGACGCUGAGGCACGAAAGCGUGGGGAGCAAACAGGAUUAGAUACCCUGGUAGUCCACGCCGUAAACGAUGAGUACUAAACGUUGGUUAAAACCAGUGUUGAAGUUAACACAUUAAGUACUCCGCCUGAGUAGUACGUACGCAAGUAUGAAACUUAAAGGAAUUGACGGGACUCCGCACAAGCGGUGGAUCAUGUUGUUUAAUUCGAAGGUACCCGAAAAACCUCACCAGGUCUUGACAUGCUUCUGCAAAGCUGUAGAAACACAGUGGAGGUUAUCAGUUGCACAGGUGGUGCAUGGUUGUCGUCAGCUCGUGUCGUGAGAUGUUGGGUUAAGUCCCGCAACGAGCGCAACCCUUAUUGUUAGUUACCAGCACGUAAUGGUGGGGACUUUAGCAAGACUGCCAGUGAUAAAUUGGAGGAAGGUGGGGACGACGUCAAAUCAUCAUGCCCCUUAUGACCUGGGCUACAAACGUGAUACAAUGGCUGUUACAAAGGGUAGCUGAAGCGCAAGUUUUUGGCGAAUCUCAAAAAAACAGUCUCAGUUCGGAUUGAAGUCUGCAACUCGACUUCAUGAAGUUGGAAUCGCUAGUAAUCGCGAAUCAGCAUGUCGCGGUGAAUACGUUCACGGGGUUUGUACACACCGCCCGUCAAAG